UACGUAGGGAGCAAGCGUUGUCCGGAAUUAUUGGGCGUAAAGGGCGCGUAGGCGGCGCGGUAUGUCACCUGUGAAAUCUCCUGGCUCAACUGGGAGCUUGCAGGCGAAACUGCCGUGCUGGAGUGUGGGAGAGGUGCGUGGAAUUCCUGGUGUAGCGGUGAAAUGCGUAGAUAUCAGGAGGAACACCUGUGGCGAAAGCGGCGCACUGGACCACAACUGACGCUGAGGCGCGAAAGCUAGGGGAGCAAACAGG
RNAcentral lists this ribosomal RNA (253 nucleotides) under uncultured bacterium. Its description in RNAcentral is "partial 16S ribosomal RNA". It matches the Rfam family "Bacterial small subunit ribosomal RNA", at positions 524 to 776 of the family's 1533-position model. The record is from RNAcentral.